GCAGGGCCUGGCAGCAGUAGGAGGGAACAGACAGAUGAGAAAAUCCAAACCCUCUGCCUCCGCUGUGCUGGACUCCGGGCCUAUGUCCCCCAGGACAACACAGAGAGGGGGUCUUGGCUCAUGUCACAGACCCAGCAGGGGCCCCCCUAUUCAGCAGGUGUUCACAGCAGGCUGGGCGCCAUGGCCACCGACGCUGGGCCUCCCCAGAGCAGCGCCCAUCUUGAAUAAGGGUCCCCAAAGUGUCCCUGUGAUCCUUUGACCCCCAUCAGCGAUUUCUAGUGGAGGAACUUUCUUGACCUGACUGUGCUAGUGGCUGGGCCCAGGCUGAGCUCAGGCAGGGACCAGCUUCACACACGCCUCGGGCCCGCAGCGGCACCGGGUGAGGUGGGUUAUGAGCAGGGCCUAGAGAGAAGAGUGACUGGCGGCCUCGUGGUGACAGAGGGGGAUGGUGGGGCAGCACCUUGCCUGAGGACUCAGCAGGGUGGCCCCAAAGCGCCCCUACACGGCGCCAGGCUGUGGGCCCUGGUCACGAGCACGCUGGGGCCUGCUUCCCCGGAGGCCCCGGAGCCAGGGAGGGGGUGAUGACAAGACGGAAAAGGCCAGCUUCUGGCCCUCGUCCUGCUGCGGGCCCUCCAGGGCUCAGGGUCCCGGCAGCCGGGGAUCUGGGGACCCGCUGCCCUCCGCCGCAGGAAGGCCCGCCCCAGGAGGGGAGCCAUCGGGUGGGAGAGAGGACACAAGCUGGACACCCGGACAGCGGAAGGAGCCCAACAGUGUGGCCACCGCUCAAGCCCUGCCGGCAACCCUUGACCGGAGCCACCUCUCGAGCCGUUCUAUAACGUCAUUCUCUUAAGUAUUCCGGUCACAAAGCAUAAAAAAAUUGGAAAGCGCAA
Leopardus geoffroyi (Geoffroy's cat) is the source of this 890-nucleotide long non-coding RNA. RefSeq lists it as uncharacterized. The transcript has 2 exons. The record is from RefSeq and is a predicted model, not a curated record. NCBI's taxonomy places the organism in Eukaryota, Metazoa, Chordata, Mammalia, Carnivora, Felidae.